RNAcentral lists this ribosomal RNA (451 nucleotides) under uncultured bacterium. RNAcentral's name for it is "partial 16S ribosomal RNA". It matches the Rfam family "Bacterial small subunit ribosomal RNA", at positions 28 to 507 of the family's 1533-position model. The record is from RNAcentral.
GAUGAACGCUGGCGGCGUGCCUAACACAUGCAAGUCGAGCGGCAGCGAGGGGUGCUUGCACCCUGUCGGCGAGCGGCGGACGGCUGAGUAGCGCGUGGGAAGGUUCCCAAACUGAAGGAAUAACUGCCCAAAGGGUAUGUUAUUCCCCCAAAUAUUUUUCGGUUAAAGGGAUUUAUCCGUUUUGGGAGCGGCUCGCGUCGGUUUAGGUAUUUGGGGAGGUAAUGGCUCACCAAGCCGACGACCCGUAGCUGGUCUGAGAGGAUGACCAGCCAGACUGGAACUGAGACACGGUCCAGACUCCUACGGGAGGCAGCAGUGAGGAAUCUUCCACAAUGGGCGAAAGCCUGAUGGAGCAACGCCGCGUGCAGGACGAAGGCCUUCGGGUUGUAAACUGCUUUUAUAAGUGAGGAAUAUGACGGUAACUUAUGAAUAAGGAUCGGCUAACUACGUG